GAUGAACGCUGGCGGCGUGCUUAACACAUGCAAGUCGAACGAUGAAGCCCAGCUUGCUGGGUGGAUUAGUGGCGAACGGGUGAGUAACACGUGAGUAACCUGCCCUUAACUCUGGGAUAAGCCUGGGAAACUGGGUCUAAUACCGGAUAGGAGCGUCCACCGCAUGGUGGGUGUUGGAAAGAUUUUUCGGUUUUGGAUGGACUCGCGGCCUAUCAGCUUGUUGGUGAGGUAAUGGCUCACCAAGGCGACGACGGGUAGCCGGCCUGAGAGGGUGACCGGCCACACUGGGACUGAGACACGGCCCAGACUCCUACGGGAGGCAGCAGUGGGGAAUAUUGCACAAUGGGCGCAAGCCUGAUGCAGCGACGCCGCGUGAGGGAUGACGGCCUUCGGGUUGUAAACCUCUUUCAGUAGGGAAGAAGCGAAAGUGACGGUACCUGCAGAAGAAGCACCGGCUAACUACGUG
Molecule: ribosomal RNA, 466 nt
Filed under: uncultured bacterium
Lineage: Bacteria
Description: partial 16S ribosomal RNA
Rfam family: Bacterial small subunit ribosomal RNA
Source: RNAcentral